UGCCAGCAGCCGCGGUAACACGGGGGGCGCAAGCGUUAUUCGGAAUUAUUGGGCGUAAAGGGCGCGUAGGCGGUCUUGUCGGUCAGAUGUGAAAGCCCAGGGCUCAACCCUGGACGUGCAUUUGAAACAGCAAGACUUGAAUACUGGAGAGGAGAGCGGAAUUCCUGGUGUAGAGGUGAAAUUCGUAGAUAUCAGGAGGAACACCGAUGGCGAAGGCAGCUCUCUGGACAGAUAUUGACGCUGAGGCGCGAAAGCGUGGGGAGCAAACAGGAUUAGAUA
Molecule: ribosomal RNA, 279 nt
Filed under: uncultured bacterium
Lineage: Bacteria
Description: partial 16S ribosomal RNA
Rfam family: Bacterial small subunit ribosomal RNA
Source: RNAcentral